GUUAAGUUAGUUUAAACAAAAUAUCAGCCUGUGGAUUUGAAGAUGAAAUUAUUUUCACUUAACC
This 64-nucleotide transfer RNA is filed under the name Mitromorpha fischeri. RNAcentral describes it as "tRNA-His". It matches the Rfam family "tRNA". From Rfam's summary of the family: Transfer RNA (tRNA) molecules are approximately 80 nucleotides in length. The record is from RNAcentral. Lineage: Eukaryota; Metazoa; Mollusca; Gastropoda; Neogastropoda; Conidae.